This is a long non-coding RNA of Homo sapiens (human), 635 nucleotides long. The record is from Ensembl. Lineage: Eukaryota; Metazoa; Chordata; Mammalia; Primates; Hominidae.
GGUCUCACGGUAGCUGUCCUUGGGCUUCCCAUCCCGCAGCGCUCCGAUGUGACCCUCCUCUGCGCGGAAAAUUUCGACCCGGGGCGCCGGCAUCGCGACGCUCAGCCAGUGCCCGCGAGGCUCCCAGGAGAUGCGGGGUAGUAAGGCCCUAAAAAGAGGAGCCUGGACACGGCCUGGAUUGAGAAAGAAGCAAGCAAACAAAAAUCCUCGGUAGCUGUGUGUAGCUUCAGGAGUGGAGAGCCGAGACACACCGACGGCGCCGGAGCGUCGCAAGAACAAUGGUUGCUGCAGUGGGUUGGGAGAGAGGACCCGGACAAGUUCCUAAAGGCACGGGAGGAACGCGGGCAAACCAGGUUUAGGGCCCCAGGCGAAUUGUGGAAGGAAUGACUUCCUCAACCUAUCAGCACCGUGGACAAUUCCCACUCCAACGGCCCUGACCUUCGGCCUACUAGAUUCAGCAAAAAUCUCUCUUCCUCCCUUGCUUCCUCCUUUCCUUCCUCCCUUCCUCCUUUCCUUCCUGCCUUCCCUCCCUCCCCUUCCUCCUCCUUUCCUUCCUUUCCUCCCUCCCCUUCUUCCUCCUUUCUUUCCCUUCCUCCUUUCCACUCUUCCCUGUUUGCUUUGUUUCAAAAACAAAA